UGGUCAUAUUUAAUUGUAAUAUGAACCAAUGAUUUUCUGAUUGCUGAUUCUAAGAGAGUCUUUGUGGAAAUCCUGUUUGGCUUUUUGUCAUUUUAAUUCUCUUUUCUGUUUUCCAGAACAGUUCUCCACAGUCACUGUCCACAUGGGUCAGUGGGACCAAGAAGCACUCUGCUAAUGUGUGGACUCUGACCAGCAACAUCCAGCAAGACACUCACACUUGCAGAGGUUAAUACACACUACUGAUCCCUGAUGGGAGAAUCAUCACCUCUGCCAACAAAGAAGCCUGGUGGAUGUUUGUUUACAGACUGAUGAUGGGACAUCAUGCUCUGCAUCUUCAAAUCUUUUUGCAGGAUCAGAAAACAAAACCAGGAGACCUGUAAAUGUUUCUUCUCCAAUUGGAUGAUGAUAAGACUGUGACAUGGGAUGCCACCUUUAGUCUUGUGAUGAAGCAAAGCUCAGGAAGAAGUGUGAUUAAAUGGUACCCACAUGUGUGCUGCUGAGAAGGAUGUACAGGGGCACCUGCAGCCAAAUCCAAGCCUCCUCAGCAACUUCAAGUCUGUCAGCGUGCUGAGGUCACAGAAACAAGAAAAGCAGCUUCAGACUUCAGAGUGUUGUUUACAGUUUUCUGUCAUCAUGAUCUCCCCUGAAGUUUAUCACUAUUAUACAAGCAAUGGUGAUGGUGUGGAGAGACGGUGGUGUUUCCUCAGAAGAACUAGCAGAGUCACAAAGGGCACCUUGACUUGCUGACUGAUGUUCGUCUGCACUGCACAGAGGAAAUCAACUGACCGAGGUUUGUCCAGUGCAGUGUUAUGAAAUGUAUAUUUGUUUUAUGCUUACAGAUUUGUUUUUCUUGACAGAGGCUCUGCAGAGGUUAGACAAAGCAGAGAAAAUAUGUGCUUUACAUUUCACUGUGAUUUAUUGAGAUAUUUGUUGCCUGAUGUUCAGCAGGAAUGGAGAAAUGGAAUCAAAGGGAGAAGUUUUUGAUGUUUUUGUAAUGAUGUAAGUAACUCUCCAGUUUCUGAGUGAGGGAGAGAGGAGUCAUCAUCCAGGUAAAGUGACGUGGAUCAGUUGAUACACUUGUCUCCCCUUUAAAGGAGACACUCUUAGAGAGAGACGAUCCGAGUCAUCAUAAAAUAUGGGCAGGAUAUCACUAUUGGACUGUCUAACCUGCAGGAGCAGCACUGAAUGAUCACCACACAUGAGCAUGUUCCUGCAACAUUCAGCAGCUUUGCUUUUGUGUCAAAUGUCAAACAGCUGGAGAGGAGACUAAACCAGUGUACUGGGAUGUUUCAGCAACGCGUGCCAGAUGCUGUAACUUCAUGGUUUCAUCACCAGAGACAGCCCCGCCCACCUCAGGACCUCGCCAUUGAUCAUGAUGAUUAUAAUAAUGACAGCGAGCGGAACUAAAACUGUAAAAAUCCACGACCAGAAUGUUUAGAUGCUUUCUAAUUAUUAAUGAAUACUGAGAACCUCUUUCUGUGUUUUGUCUGUUUUGUUUUGUUUUGUUUUUUACCUCAUUUGUUACUAACAAAGUUCACCAAACUCACACAGUUUACAUUCUGUAUGUUUCCAUCUUUACCAGCCACACUCUACCUGCAAUCAAGCAAAUAAUCCUUAGAAAUCAUUGCUUUUCUCUUUUGUAAUUGAUGAUAAUUCAGUGAAUAUACUGCGCUGCUUCCUUUUAUUGCAUCACACAUUGCUUUAAGUUUUUCAGUGUCCAGUUAUUUUUUUACUGCUGUUUGAAUUCUCUGCAUGUUUGACCCUGUAGACUGUUUAAUGGACUGCUUGUCUUGUAACCGCUGCCUGUUGUUGACUAAAGAUUUGGAUUUCUGACUUUAACACAGC
Molecule: long non-coding RNA, 1845 nt
Organism: Oreochromis aureus
Lineage: Eukaryota; Metazoa; Chordata; Actinopteri; Cichliformes; Cichlidae
Source: Ensembl